This 1261-nucleotide ribosomal RNA is filed under the name metagenome. RNAcentral's name for it is "bacterial SSU rRNA". It matches the Rfam family "Bacterial small subunit ribosomal RNA", at positions 243 to 1520 of the family's 1533-position model. The record is from RNAcentral.
AGCUAGUUGGUGGGGUAAUGGCCCACCAAGGCGACGAUCAGUAGCUGGUCUGAGAGGAUGAUCAGCCACACUGGGACUGAGACACGGCCCAGACUCCUACGGGAGGCAGCAGUGGGGAAUUUUCCGCAAUGGGCGAAAGCCUGACGGAGCAACGCCGCGUGAGGGAUGAAGGCCUCUGGGCUGUAAACCUCUUUUCUCAAGGAAGAAGACCUGACGGUACUUGAGGAAUAAGCCACGGCUAAUUCCGUGCCAGCAGCCGCGGUAAUACGGGAGUGGCAAGCGUUAUCCGGAAUUAUUGGGCGUAAAGCGUCCGCAGGCGGCCUUGUAAGUCUGUUGUUAAAGCGUGGAGCUUAACUCCAUUUAAGCAAUGGAAACUACAAGGCUGGAGUGUGGUAGGGGCAGAGGGAAUUCCCGGUGUAGCGGUGAAAUGCGUAGAUAUCCGGAAGAACACCAGUGGCGAAGGCGCUCUGCUGGGCCAUAACUGACGCUCAUGGACGAAAGCCAGGGGAGCGAAAGGGAUUAGAUACCCCUGUAGUCCUGGCCGUAAACGAUGAACACUAGGUGUCGGGGGAAUCGACCCCCUCGGUGUCGUAGCCAACGCGUUAAGUGUUCCGCCUGGGGAGUACGCACGCAAGUGUGAAACUCAAAGGAAUUGACGGGGGCCCGCACAAGCGGUGGAGUAUGUGGUUUAAUUCGAUGCAACGCGAAGAACCUUACCAGGGUUUGACAUCCUGCGAACCCCUGAGAAAUCGGGGGGUGCCUUCGGGAGCGCAGAGACAGGUGGUGCAUGGCUGUCGUCAGCUCGUGUCGUGAGAUGUUGGGUUAAGUCCCGCAACGAGCGCAACCCACGUCUUUAGUUGCCAGCAUUCAGUUGGGCACUCUAGAGAGACCGCCGGUGAUAAACCGGAGGAAGGUGUGGAUGACGUCAAGUCAUCAUGCCCCUUACAUCCUGGGCUACACACGUACUACAAUGCUACGGACAAAGGGCAGCAAGCUCGCGAGAGUUAGCAAAUCCCAUAAACCGUGGCUCAGUUCAGAUCGUAGGCUGCAACUCGCCUACGUGAAGGAGGAAUCGCUAGUAAUCGCAGGUCAGCAUACUGCGGUGAAUACGUUCCCGGGCCUUGUACGCACCGCCCGUCACACCAUGGAAGUUGGCCAUGCCCGAAGUCGUUACUCCAACCCUUGUGGAGGAGGACGCCGAAGGUGGGGCUGAUGACUGGGGUGAAGUCGUAACAAGGUAGCCGUACCGGAGGUGCGGCUG